This 733-nucleotide ribosomal RNA is filed under the name uncultured cyanobacterium. Its description in RNAcentral is "bacterial SSU rRNA". It matches the Rfam family "Bacterial small subunit ribosomal RNA", at positions 12 to 819 of the family's 1533-position model. Lineage: Bacteria; Bacillati; Cyanobacteriota. The record is from RNAcentral.
UUUGAUCCUGGCUCAGGAUGAACGCUGGCGGUAUGCUUAACACAUGCAAGUCGAACGCACCUUUCGGGGAAUCUGCCUUUUGGUCGGGGACAACCACUGGAAACGGUGGCUAAUACCGGAUGUGCCUACGGGUAAAAGAUUUAUUGCCAGAAGAAGAGCUCGCGUCUGAUUAGCUAGUUGGUAGGGUAAAAGCCUACCAAGACAUCGAUCAGUAGCUGGUCUGAGAGGAUGACCAGCCACACUGGGACUGAGACACGGCCCAGACUCCUACGGGAGGCAGCAGUGGGGAAUUUUCCGCAAUGGGCGAAAGCCUGACGGAGCAAGACCGCGUGAGGGAGGAAGGCUCUUGGGUUGUAAACCUCUUUUGUCAGGGAAGAAGAAAGUGACGGUACCUGACGAAUCAGCAUCGGCUAACUCCGUGCCAGCAGCCGCGGUAAUACGGAGGAUGCAAGCGUUAUCCGGAAUUAUUGGGCGUAAAGCGUCCGCAGGUGGCACUUCAAGUCUGUCGUCAAAGACCGGGGCCUAACCCUGGAAAGGCGAUGGAAACUGAAAGGCUAGAGAGAGGUGGGGGUAGAGGGAAUUCCCAGUGUAGCGGUGAAAUGCGUAGAGAUUGGGAAGAACAUCGGUGGCGAAAGCGCUCUACUGGACCUCAUCUGACACUCAGGGACGAAAGCUAGGGGAGCGAAUGGGAUUAGAUACCCCAGUAGUCCUAGCCGUAAACGAUGGAUACUAG